AUUAAUUAUUAUUUAUCUUUAACUUAUAUGCACAGUAAAUUAUUGAUAUCUAAUAGUUAAUAAUCCACGUGGUAGAGGCAUAGUUAGGUUCGCUAUGUGUGCAACUCUUAAAGGUAACUAAUCCUAAGCAAGUAAUGGAGAAUAGGUAUUAACAUUAAUACAUGAGAAUAAUCUCAUAAUGUGCUUGACAGUAUGAUACUAACUGAACAAUAAGUAUCA
This 219-nucleotide non-coding RNA is filed under the name unclassified sequences. Its description in RNAcentral is "RAGATH-7 RNA". It matches the Rfam family "RAGATH-7 RNA". From Rfam's summary of the family: RNA motif Associated with Genes Associated with Twister and Hammerhead ribozymes (RAGATH). The record is from Rfam by way of RNAcentral.